RNAcentral lists this ribosomal RNA (2773 nucleotides) under Escherichia coli. RNAcentral's name for it is "bacterial LSU rRNA". It matches the Rfam family "Bacterial large subunit ribosomal RNA". The record is from RNAcentral. Lineage: Bacteria; Pseudomonadati; Pseudomonadota; Gammaproteobacteria; Enterobacterales; Enterobacteriaceae.
AGCGUACACGGUGGAUGCCCUGGCAGUCAGAGGCGAUGAAGGACGUGCUAAUCUGCGAUAAGCGUCGGUAAGGUGAUAUGAACCGUUAUAACCGGCGAUUUCCGAAUGGGGAAACCCAGUGUGAUUCGUCACACUAUCAUUAACUGAAUCCAUAGGUUAAUGAGGCGAACCGGGGGAACUGAAACAUCUAAGUACCCCGAGGAAAAGAAAUCAACCGAGAUUCCCCCAGUAGCGGCGAGCGAACGGGGAGCAGCCCAGAGCCUGAAUCAGUGUGUGUGUUAGUGGAAGCGUCUGGAAAGGCGCGCGAUACAGGGUGACAGCCCCGUACACAAAAAUGCACAUGCUGUGAGCUCGAUGAGUAGGGCGGGACACGUGGUAUCCUGUCUGAAUAUGGGGGGACCAUCCUCCAAGGCUAAAUACUCCUGACUGACCGAUAGUGAACCAGUACCGUGAGGGAAAGGCGAAAAGAACCCCGGCGAGGGGAGUGAAAAAGAACCUGAAACCGUGUACGUACAAGCAGUGGGAGCACGCUUAGGCGUGUGACUGCGUACCUUUUGUAUAAUGGGUCAGCGACUUAUAUUCUGUAGCAAGGUUAACCGAAUAGGGGAGCCGAAGGGAAACCGAGUCUUAACUGGGCGUUAAGUUGCAGGGUAUAGACCCGAAACCCGGUGAUCUAGCCAUGGGCAGGUUGAAGGUUGGGUAACACUAACUGGAGGACCGAACCGACUAAUGUUGAAAAAUUAGCGGAUGACUUGUGGCUGGGGGUGAAAGGCCAAUCAAACCGGGAGAUAGCUGGUUCUCCCCGAAAGCUAUUUAGGUAGCGCCUCGUGAAUUCAUCUCCGGGGGUAGAGCACUGUUUCGGCAAGGGGGUCAUCCCGACUUACCAACCCGAUGCAAACUGCGAAUACCGGAGAAUGUUAUCACGGGAGACACACGGCGGGUGCUAACGUCCGUCGUGAAGAGGGAAACAACCCAGACCGCCAGCUAAGGUCCCAAAGUCAUGGUUAAGUGGGAAACGAUGUGGGAAGGCCCAGACAGCCAGGAUGUUGGCUUAGAAGCAGCCAUCAUUUAAAGAAAGCGUAAUAGCUCACUGGUCGAGUCGGCCUGCGCGGAAGAUGUAACGGGGCUAAACCAUGCACCGAAGCUGCGGCAGCGACGCUUAUGCGUUGUUGGGUAGGGGAGCGUUCUGUAAGCCUGUGAAGGUGUACUGUGAGGUAUGCUGGAGGUAUCAGAAGUGCGAAUGCUGACAUAAGUAACGAUAAAGCGGGUGAAAAGCCCGCUCGCCGGAAGACCAAGGGUUCCUGUCCAACGUUAAUCGGGGCAGGGUGAGUCGACCCCUAAGGCGAGGCCGAAAGGCGUAGUCGAUGGGAAACAGGUUAAUAUUCCUGUACUUGGUGUUACUGCGAAGGGGGGACGGAGAAGGCUAUGUUGGCCGGGCGACGGUUGUCCCGGUUUAAGCGUGUAGGCUGGUUUUCCAGGCAAAUCCGGAAAAUCAAGGCUGAGGCGUGAUGACGAGGCACUACGGUGCUGAAGCAACAAAUGCCCUGCUUCCAGGAAAAGCCUCUAAGCAUCAGGUAACAUCAAAUCGUACCCCAAACCGACACAGGUGGUCAGGUAGAGAAUACCAAGGCGCUUGAGAGAACUCGGGUGAAGGAACUAGGCAAAAUGGUGCCGUAACUUCGGGAGAAGGCACGCUGAUAUGUAGGUGAAGCGACUUGCUCGUGGAGCUGAAAUCAGUCGAAGAUACCAGCUGGCUGCAACUGUUUAUUAAAAACACAGCACUGUGCAAACACGAAAGUGGACGUAUACGGUGUGACGCCUGCCCGGUGCCGGAAGGUUAAUUGAUGGGGUCAGCGCAAGCGAAGCUCUUGAUCGAAGCCCCGGUAAACGGCGGCCGUAACUAUAACGGUCCUAAGGUAGCGAAAUUCCUUGUCGGGUAAGUUCCGACCUGCACGAAUGGCGUAAUGAUGGCCAGGCUGUCUCCACCCGAGACUCAGUGAAAUUGAACUCGCUGUGAAGAUGCAGUGUACCCGCGGCAAGACGGAAAGACCCCGUGAACCUUUACUAUAGCUUGACACUGAACAUUGAGCCUUGAUGUGUAGGAUAGGUGGGAGGCUUUGAAGUGUGGACGCCAGUCUGCAUGGAGCCGACCUUGAAAUACCACCCUUUAAUGUUUGAUGUUCUAACGUUGACCCGUAAUCCGGGUUGCGGACAGUGUCUGGUGGGUAGUUUGACUGGGGCGGUCUCCUCCUAAAGAGUAACGGAGGAGCACGAAGGUUGGCUAAUCCUGGUCGGACAUCAGGAGGUUAGUGCAAUGGCAUAAGCCAGCUUGACUGCGAGCGUGACGGCGCGAGCAGGUGCGAAAGCAGGUCAUAGUGAUCCGGUGGUUCUGAAUGGAAGGGCCAUCGCUCAACGGAUAAAAGGUACUCCGGGGAUAACAGGCUGAUACCGCCCAAGAGUUCAUAUCGACGGCGGUGUUUGGCACCUCGAUGUCGGCUCAUCACAUCCUGGGGCUGAAGUAGGUCCCAAGGGUAUGGCUGUUCGCCAUUUAAAGUGGUACGCGAGCUGGGUUUAGAACGUCGUGAGACAGUUCGGUCCCUAUCUGCCGUGGGCGCUGGAGAACUGAGGGGGGCUGCUCCUAGUACGAGAGGACCGGAGUGGACGCAUCACUGGUGUUCGGGUUGUCAUGCCAAUGGCACUGCCCGGUAGCUAAAUGCGGAAGAGAUAAGUGCUGAAAGCAUCUAAGCACGAAACUUGCCCCGAGAUGAGUUCU